Molecule: ribosomal RNA, 625 nt
Filed under: Pediococcus pentosaceus
Lineage: Bacteria; Bacillati; Bacillota; Bacilli; Lactobacillales; Lactobacillaceae
Description: bacterial SSU rRNA
Rfam family: Bacterial small subunit ribosomal RNA
Source: RNAcentral
GAGUGGCGAACGGGUGAGUAACACGUGGGUAACUUGCCCAGAAGUAGGGGAUAACACCUGGAAACAGAUGCUAAUACCGUAUAACAGAGAAAACCGCAUGGUUUUCUUUUAAAAGAUGGCUCUGCUAUCACUUCUGGAUGGACCCGCGGCGUAUUAGCUAGUUGGUGAGGUAAAGGCUCACCAAGGCAGUGAUACGUAGCCGACCUGAGAGGGUAAUCGGCCACAUUGGGACUGAGACACGGCCCAGACUCCUACGGGAGGCAGCAGUAGGGAAUCUUCCACAAUGGACGCAAGUCUGAUGGAGCAACGCCGCGUGAGUGAAGAAGGGUUUCGGCUCGUAAAGCUCUGUUGUUAAAGAAGAACGUGGGUAAGAGUAACUGUUUACCCAGUGACGGUAUUUAACCAGAAAGCCACGGCUAACUACGUGCCAGCAGCCGCGGUAAUACGUAGGUGGCAAGCGUUAUCCGGAUUUAUUGGGCGUAAAGCGAGCGCAGGCGGUCUUUUAAGUCUAAUGUGAAAGCCUUCGGCUCAACCGAAGAAGUGCAUUGGAAACUGGGAGACUUGAGUGCAGAAGAGGACAGUGGAACUCCAUGUGUAGCGGUGAAAUGCGUAGAUAUAUGGAAGA